UACGUAGGUGGCAAGCGUUGUCCGGAAUUAUUGGGCGUAAAGCGCGCGCAGGCGGUCCUUUAAGUCUGAUGUGAAAGCCCACGGCUCAACCGUGGAGGGUCAUUGGAAACUGGGGGACUUGAGUGCAGGAGAGAAGAGUGGAAUUCAUGGUGUAGCAGUGAAAUGCGUAGAGAUCAUGAGGAAGACCAGUGGCGAAGGCGGGUCUCUGGACAGUUCCUGACACUGAGACACGAAGGCCAGGGGAGCAAACGGG
This 253-nucleotide ribosomal RNA is filed under the name uncultured bacterium. RNAcentral's name for it is "partial 16S ribosomal RNA". It matches the Rfam family "Bacterial small subunit ribosomal RNA", at positions 524 to 776 of the family's 1533-position model. The record is from RNAcentral.